CAGAGUUCAUGCCCGAAAGGGUAGACCUCCCACCCUUGUGUAUUAUUACUUUGUUGCUUUGGCGAGUCGUUUUCGGACGCUCGCCAAAGGAUAAUCAAACUCUUUUUAUUUUUGUCGUCUGAGUACUAUAUAAUAGUUA
This 139-nucleotide unclassified non-coding RNA is filed under the name uncultured Monilinia. RNAcentral's name for it is "sequence contains ITS1". The record is from RNAcentral. Lineage: Eukaryota; Fungi; Ascomycota; Leotiomycetes; Helotiales; Sclerotiniaceae.